CCUGGAGAUGAUUGAGCCGCGCACGCUACAGUACAAGCUGCUGGAGCCAGUUCUGCUUCUUGGCAAGGAGCGAUUUGCUGGUGUAGACAUCCGUGUCCGUGUGAAGGUGGUGGUCACGUGGCCCAGAUUCAUGCUAUCCGUCAGUCCAUCUCCAAAGCCCUGGUGGCCUAUUACCAGAAAUACGUGGAUAAGGCUUCCAAGAAGGAGAUCAAAGACAUCCUCAUCCAGUAUGACCGGACCCUGCUGGUAGCUGAUCCUCGUCGCUGCGAGUCCAAAAAGUUUGGAGGCCCCGGUGCCCGGGCUCGCUACCAGAAAUCCUACCGAUAAGCCCAUCAUGACUCAAAAUUCACCUGUAUAAUAAACAGUUUUUGAGGGAUUUUAAAGUUUCAAAAAAAAAA
Molecule: RNA transcript, 398 nt
Organism: Nomascus leucogenys (northern white-cheeked gibbon)
Lineage: Eukaryota; Metazoa; Chordata; Mammalia; Primates; Hylobatidae
Gene name: 40S ribosomal protein S16 pseudogene
Exons: 1
Source: RefSeq, a predicted model, not a curated record